GGUGAAGCUGCAAAGUAAUCAAUGCACUUGUUCAAAAUGGUUAAUGCAAUCAAUUCCUUUUUGGCAGCAGUGAAUGUCAUUUAGGCACCUACAAUUUCAUUUUCAAAUACAUCCCAUCUUUCCUGGACUCUUCCAGAAUUUUUUGAUUGCUUCUCUACAACAGAUCUUGACUGAGGAACCUCACAACAGGCUUGGACAGAGAAGAGAGAAACAGCCUACACCUGAUCUGGUGAUGAUACCGCACAACAGUUGUUUUUAUGUCUUGACUGUAACCCCUCUGAGUUCCCCUCGGACCUCGAAGCUCUGACAGUAACAUGGCACCUAGAAGCCCAAUGGUCACCAAGGCACAAUACGGACUGGAGUCAAAGGCUGCAAAAGAAGGUCAAAGAAUCAUGGGCUCCCCAAUGUUCUCAUCACACCAUGGAAAGAGCACAAAGAAAUCAUACUGGAGUGACUAUGGGGAAGAAAAA
This is a long non-coding RNA of Alligator sinensis (Chinese alligator), 470 nucleotides long. RefSeq lists it as uncharacterized. The record is from RefSeq and is a predicted model, not a curated record. The transcript is spliced from 3 exons. Lineage: Eukaryota; Metazoa; Chordata; Crocodylia; Alligatoridae.